Ruditapes philippinarum (Manila clam) is the source of this 938-nucleotide long non-coding RNA. RefSeq lists it as uncharacterized. The transcript has 2 exons. The record is from RefSeq and is a predicted model, not a curated record. Lineage: Eukaryota; Metazoa; Mollusca; Bivalvia; Venerida; Veneridae.
AGAGUAUUUUCUACAAUAUAAUGACUUAAAUUCUGUAUUUUUUUUAUAUCUCUGGCCUGAUAUAUAAAUUUAUAUACAUUAUAUAUUGUAGGUAUAAUGAUGUACCAGUAGCCAUAUGUUUAAUGUUUUGUGCCGAGGGUGACAAUAUCGCAGAAGCUUUAGAACUUGCUAACAGACUCAACAGGUGGCUGGGACUUAUUUUGUUUCACUCACGGUCAAUAGGUGGAGCAGAUGAAGAAGCUGUCGUAAAAUACACUAAAUGGAAGGUCCCUGUUUCUUGGAAACUAUUUUACGGAUCAAAGUUUGACCAGAGUUUAUUUCACUGAUAAUGACUGUAGAUGGCAACUGUUACUUCACUUUGAUCACUUCAGCAUGGAAGAUUUGGGACUGCUUGUUUUCAGUCCAGAAACAUCUCUGAUUUUGACAUUGUUAGCACCUUUAUAAGGGAUGCCCUUUCAGUGGUGGGAAUUCUUUGUCUAGAUUUUCUGCAGGGAGAUCAACAAACUCAACGACUGGUCUUUGUAGAUAAAGGGCGUACUUUUGGAAAUGUGCAGUCAAAAGACCAAAGGCUUACUUUCAGAAUAUAUUCGCAUUAAGUCACAAUAAACAAGGAUAAAAUCAGUGAACCAAAAAAAGAGAAUGGAAAGUUUUUUAGUAAUGUGUAACACAUGGGACAACACAACCUAAAUCUCAUUUUUGAGAUAAAUUUUAUGGAAUUUAUUUUCUUCGUACAUUUCACUUCUUCAUCAGUUUGACAUAUUACGCUGAACAUUUAUUGGUCUUCACUGCAGACGUAAAUUAAAAAAUCCAGUUUACUUUGUGGUAAAAACCAUUUCUUAAUGUGUUCACAAUUUUUGUGCUCUUUUUUUCACACACUUAUUUGAUCAUGAUCUGUAUAUUGUAUUUUAUUUGAGGAAAUAAAACUGUGAUAAUUUUUA